Molecule: ribosomal RNA, 449 nt
Filed under: uncultured bacterium
Lineage: Bacteria
Description: partial 16S ribosomal RNA
Rfam family: Bacterial small subunit ribosomal RNA
Source: RNAcentral
AACGAACGCUGGCGGCAGGCUUAACACAUGCAAGUCGAACGCAUCCUUCGGGGUGAGUGGCAGACGGGUGAGUAACGCGUGGGAACGUGCCCUUCAGUUCGGGAUAACCCAGGGAAACUUGGGCUAAUACCGGAUACGUGCGAGAGCAGAAAGAUUUAUCGCUGAAGGAUCGGCCCGCGUCUGAUUAGCUAGUUGGUGGGGUAAUGGCCCACCAAGGCGACGAUCAGUAGUUGGUCUGAGAGGAGGAUCAGCCACACUGGGACUGGGACACGGCCCGGACUCCUACGGGAGGCAGCAGUGGGGAAUAUUGGACAAUGGGCGCAAGCCUGAUCCAGCCAUGCCGCGUGAGUGAUGAAGGCCUUAGGGUUGUAAAGCUCUUUCAGUGGGGACGAUAAUGACGGUACCCGCAGAAGAAGCCCCGGCUAACUUCGUGCCAGCCGCCGCGGUAA